GCAAAGAAACAGCACUAACAAAGUUUAGACCCAUAAAUUUUGAAGGUCUAGCUACCAUAUUAUUACCCACAAGGGUAAAGGAACAGUACCACUGCUGGAUAAUUGGAAAGUCCCUGUGUGUCAACCUCUGUGCUUCGUGGCAAGGUAGACUAGCAAACAUGCCCAACCUUUACUCACAUUCGAGAAAACACUCCCAAUAAGAUUGCUUGCUCCAAAAUCGAAGAGGCACCGUCCUCCGAAUCUCGAGAGCCAGACUCCCAACAUGACUACUUUCUUAAAAAUCGAAGAGAGGGUAAAGGAACAGUACCAUUGCUGGAUAAUUGGAAAGUCCCUGUGUGUCAACCUCUGUGCUUCGUGGCAAGGUAGACUAGCAAACAUGCCCAACCUUUACUCACAUUCGAGAAAACACUCCCAACAAGAUUGCUUGCUCCAAAAUCGAAGAGGCACCGCCCUCCGAAUCUCGAGAGCCAGACUCCCAACAUGAUUACUUUCUCAAAAAUCGAAGAGACACUGCUCCCCGAAUCUCGAGAGCCAGACCCCCAGCAUGAUUGCUUUCUCAAAAAUCGAUGAGGCAUCGUUCUCCGAAUCAAUCGAAGAGGCGCUCGCUUUCUCAAAAGCUGGGCUGCUCAGAGACCACGAGGGCCGAUCUCAGAAAUCGAAGAGGCACCUACUUUUCUAGCCUUGUCAGCACCUGUCACACGCACACUCAGCUUUGCAGAAAUUAUGGGCAUUCUGUCGAAGACUUCUGGUGAAGUAGAAAAGCACAUGAAUCUUACUGUUCAAUCACCCACUUCCCACACGCAACAAUAGCUCAUGGGUACCACAGAUAACUUUGCCAAAGUUCUCUGCCAAAGUUGAGCACGUGAAGCUUGCAGCUCCCACUACAUCGCUCUGACCAAGAAAGGUAAAAGAAUAGCAAAGAAACAGCACUAACAAAGUUUAGACACAUAAAUUUUGAAGGUCUAGCUACCAUAUUAUUACCCACAAGGGUAAAGGAAUAGUACCACUGCUGGAUAAUUAGAAAGUCCCUGUGUGUCAACCUCUGUGCUUCGUGGCAAGGUAGACUAGCAAACAUGCCCAACCUUUACUCACAUCCGAGAAAACACUCCCAACAAGAUUGCUUACUCCAAAAUCGAAGAGGCACCGCCCUCCGAAUCUCGAGAGCCAGACUCCCAACAUGAUUACUUUCUCAAAAAUCGAAGAGACACUGCUCCCCGAAUCUCGAGAGCCAGA
This 1233-nucleotide long non-coding RNA is filed under the name Malus domestica (apple). RNAcentral's name for it is "long non-coding RNA (MDOM_LNC011093)". Lineage: Eukaryota; Viridiplantae; Streptophyta; Magnoliopsida; Rosales; Rosaceae. The record is from RNAcentral.